AAUCGUUAAAACUUUCAACAACGGAUCUCUUGGUUCUGGCAUCGAUGAAGAACGCAGCGAACUGCGAUAAGUAAUGCGAAUUGCAGAAUUCAGCGAGCCAUCGAAUCUUUGAACGCACAUUGCGCCCGCCAGCAUUCUGGCGGGCAUGCCUGUCCGAGCGUCAUUUCCUCCCUCACGCAGCACGCCUGCGUGGUGUUGGGGCGUUCUGCGGCCCGGCUUGCGCC
RNAcentral lists this ribosomal RNA (224 nucleotides) under Grosmannia laricis. Its description in RNAcentral is "5.8S ribosomal RNA". The stretch from base 10 to 163 matches the Rfam family "5.8S ribosomal RNA". Rfam says of the family: 5.8S ribosomal RNA (5.8S rRNA) is a component of the large subunit of the eukaryotic ribosome. It is transcribed by RNA polymerase I as part of the 45S precursor that also contains 18S and 28S rRNA. Functionally, it is thought that 5.8S rRNA may be involved in ribosome translocation. Lineage: Eukaryota; Fungi; Ascomycota; Sordariomycetes; Ophiostomatales; Ophiostomataceae. The record is from RNAcentral.